GGAAUCUUGCGCAAUGGGCGAAAGCCUGACGCAGCGACGCCGCGUGAGCGAUGAAGGCCUUAGGGUUGUAAAGCUCUUUCACCGGGGAAGAUAAUGACGGUACCCGGAGAAGAAGCCCCGGCUAACUCCGUGCCAGCCGCCGCGGUAAUACGGAGGGGGCUAGCGUUGUUCGGAAUUACUGGGCGUAAAGCGCGCGUAGGCGGAUUGUUAAGUCGGGGGUGAAAUCCCGGGGCUCAACCCCGGAACUGCCUUCGAUACUGGCAGUCUAGAGGUCGAGAGAGGUGAGUGGAAUUCCGAGUGUAGAGGUGAAAUUCGUAGAUAUUCGGAGGAACACCAGUGGCGAAGGCGGCUCACUGGCUCGAUACUGACGCUGAGGUGCGAAAGCGUGGGGAGCAAAC
This 398-nucleotide ribosomal RNA is filed under the name uncultured bacterium. RNAcentral describes it as "bacterial SSU rRNA". It matches the Rfam family "Bacterial small subunit ribosomal RNA", at positions 358 to 773 of the family's 1533-position model. The record is from RNAcentral.